RNAcentral lists this transfer RNA (89 nucleotides) under Dreissena polymorpha. It matches the Rfam family "tRNA". From Rfam's summary of the family: Transfer RNA (tRNA) molecules are approximately 80 nucleotides in length. The record is from Rfam by way of RNAcentral. Lineage: Eukaryota; Metazoa; Mollusca; Bivalvia; Myida; Dreissenidae.
GCCGGAAUAGCUCAGUUGGGAGAGCGUAAGACUGAAGUUGUUUACGUAACAAUCAUCUAAAGGCAUCGGUUCGAUGCCGGGUUCCGGCA